GACGAACGCUGGCGGCGUGCCUAAUACAUGCAAGUCGUAGCGAAUCUUGAGGAGCUUGCUCCUUAAGGUUAGCGGCGGACGGGUGAGUAACACGUGGGCAACCUGCCUGUAAGACUGGGAUAACACCGGGAAACCGGUGCUAAUACCGGAUAAUUUUUCACCUCUCAUGAGGUGAAGCUAAAAGUCGGUUUCGGCUGACACUUACAGAUGGGCCCGCGGCGCAUUAGCUAGUUGGUGAGGUAACGGCUCACCAAGGCGACGAUGCGUAGCCGACCUGAGAGGGUGAUCGGCCACACUGGGACUGAGACACGGCCCAGACUCCUACGGGAGGCAGCAGUAGGGAAUCUUCCGCAAUGGACGAAAGUCUGACGGAGCAACGCCGCGUGAGUGAUGAAGGCCUUCGGGUCGUAAAACUCUGUUGUUAGGGAAGAACAAGUACCGGAGUAACUGCCGGUACCUUGACGGUACCUAACCAGAAAGCCACGGCUAACUACGUGCCAGCAGCCGCGGUAAUACGUAGGUGGCAAGCGUUGUCCGGAAUUAUUGGGCGUAAAGCGCGCGCAGGCGGUCCUUUAAGUCUGAUGUG
Molecule: ribosomal RNA, 586 nt
Filed under: uncultured bacterium
Lineage: Bacteria
Description: bacterial SSU rRNA
Rfam family: Bacterial small subunit ribosomal RNA
Source: RNAcentral